RNAcentral lists this transfer RNA (20 nucleotides) under Phocoena phocoena (harbor porpoise). Its description in RNAcentral is "partial tRNA-Thr". The record is from RNAcentral. Lineage: Eukaryota; Metazoa; Chordata; Mammalia; Artiodactyla; Phocoenidae.
CCUCACUCCUCCCUGAGACU